Molecule: small nuclear RNA, 99 nt
Filed under: Peromyscus maniculatus bairdii (prairie deer mouse)
Lineage: Eukaryota; Metazoa; Chordata; Mammalia; Rodentia; Cricetidae
Source: RNAcentral
UUGCUUUGGGCAGUACAUAUACUAGAAUGGGAACGAUACAGAGAAGAUUAGCAUGGCCCCUGCGCAAGGAUGACAUGCAAAUACGUUCUUUACUUUUUU